GAAAAUGUGGGGGCUUAAGAUAGGGGAAGGUAGCAAUGAUCCCUACCUUUACAGUACCAACAAUUUUCUGGGAAGGCAAACGUAGUUCAAUCCAAAUGCAGGCAUAGCUGAAGAACGAGCUGAGGGUGAAGAAGCUCGUCUUAAUAUCUACAACAAUCGGUACAUUGUUCAACCCAGUUCUGAUCUUCCCUGGCAAAUGCAGUUUCUAAGAGAGAAGAAGAUGCAACAAACCAUUCCCCAACCAAAGAUAGAGGAUGGUGAAGAAGUGACAUAUGAAGUUAAAACUGCAGCAAUGAAGAGAAGUGCCCACUUGUUUUCAGCUCUACAAUCAAAACAUGGCCAUUGGCCAGCUGAGAAUUCUGGCCCCAUGUUUUGUUUUCCUCCUUUGGUCAUGUCUCUAUAUAUCACAGGUCAUCUCAAUACUAUAUUCUCUCCAGAGCAUCGCAAAGAAAUUCUCCGUUGUAUUUACUAUCAUCAGGUAAUAAAUAUAAAUAUAAAUAUAAGUAGAUAUAUGUAUUGAACGGUGGAUUGAUAAUAAUAAUAAAAAGAAAGUUUGUUUUGG
Long non-coding RNA from Gossypium arboreum, 562 nucleotides. RefSeq lists it as uncharacterized. The transcript has 2 exons. NCBI's taxonomy places the organism in Eukaryota, Viridiplantae, Streptophyta, Magnoliopsida, Malvales, Malvaceae. The record is from RefSeq and is a predicted model, not a curated record.